CCCUUCGGGGACAAAGUGACAGGUGGUGCAUGGUUGUCGUCAGCUCGUGUCGUGAGAUGUUGGGUUAAGUCCCGCAACGAGCGCAACCCUUGAUUUUAGUUGCCAGCAUUUAGUUGGGCACUCUAAAGUGACUGCCGGUGCAAGCCGGAGGAAGGUGGGGAUGACGUCAAAUCAUCAUGCCCCUUAUGACCUGGGCUACACACGUGCUACAAUGGAUAGUACAAAGGGUCGCGAAGCCGCGAGGUGGAGCUAAUCCCAUAAAACUAUUCUCAGUUCGGAUUGUAGGCUGCAACUCGCCUACAUGAAGCCGGAAUCGCUAGUAAUCGUGGAUCAGCAUGCCACGGUGAAUACGUUCCCGGGCCUUGUACACACCGCCCGUCACACCACGAGAGU
RNAcentral lists this ribosomal RNA (393 nucleotides) under Listeria monocytogenes. Its description in RNAcentral is "bacterial SSU rRNA". It matches the Rfam family "Bacterial small subunit ribosomal RNA", at positions 1016 to 1411 of the family's 1533-position model. The record is from RNAcentral. Lineage: Bacteria; Bacillati; Bacillota; Bacilli; Caryophanales; Listeriaceae.